CAUUGCAAUCUUCUCUGAUUCUAAUAGUAAAGAUAAUAAUCCUUCUGAUUGGCUUCUCAAUUUAGGUGGGCAAAGGACUUUCAAAUAAUGGACAAAAGCAUUUGCACACUGUCCGGGGCUGAGGAAGCAUUCAAUGAAGACACUGGUGCUCAUGGAGAUAAGUCUGACCCCUCCAUCUGCCCAUGAUAGAUUGAGUCUUGGAACGCAAACCCCAGACCCUGAAGGCAGCCCUCUUGGCCUGCUCCCAUCAAGCCUUCUGGAACCCUCUCUGAAAGGGAGAUGACUGCAUCUCAGAUGGACAUCCACAGACCUCUCCCAGGGCCAGAGCAGAUUUCUAGUCAGCUCUUGCACAUGCAAAACUGAGCUUCCUGCUAGCAGCUCAAAGACAAUACAGGCUUCUCAGGACAAGGGAAAGGUCGCACCAGAUGUGCUCUGGGACCUAUCCAGGUCUAACCCUCACUGUUUCUGACCCCAAACUGACAUCAUCGUCCCUUCCCAAAACUGCCCCUUCCUUUUAAGUCCUUCAUUUCUAUUCAUGGUACCACUGUUCCUCCUGUGACUUGGUCUCAGAAUUCCAGAAUGUCUUUUUCCGCUUCUCAUCUCCCACCGCCCACCCUUGAAAAAAAAUUGUUGUGUUCAGCAGA
Pan troglodytes (chimpanzee) is the source of this 644-nucleotide long non-coding RNA. RefSeq lists it as uncharacterized. The transcript is spliced from 3 exons. The record is from RefSeq and is a predicted model, not a curated record. Lineage: Eukaryota; Metazoa; Chordata; Mammalia; Primates; Hominidae.